AGUGAACGCUGGCGGUAGGCCUAACACAUGCAAGUCGAACGGCAGCACAGUAAGAGCUUGCUCUUACGGGUGGCGAGUGGCGGACGGGGGAGGAAUACAUCGGAAUCUACUUUUUCGUGGGGGAUAAUGUAGGGAAACUUACGCUAAUACCGCAUACGACCUACGGGUGAAAGCAGGGGAUCUUCGGACCUUGCGCGAUUGAAUGAGCCGAUGUCGGAUUAGCUAGUUGGCGGGGUAAAGGCCCACCAAGGCGACGAUCCGUAGCUGGUCUGAGAGGAUGAUCGGCCACACUGGAACUGAGACACGGUCCAGACUCCUACGGGAGGCGGCAGUGGGGAAUAUUGGACAAUGGGCGCAAGCCUGAUCCAGCCAUACCGCGUGGGUGAAGAAGGUCUUCGGGUUGUAAAGCCCUUUUGUUGGGAAAGAAAAGCAGCAGGUUAAUACGCCGCUGUUCUGACGGUACCCAAAGAAUAAGCACCGGCUAACUUCGUG
RNAcentral lists this ribosomal RNA (492 nucleotides) under uncultured bacterium. Its description in RNAcentral is "partial 16S ribosomal RNA". It matches the Rfam family "Bacterial small subunit ribosomal RNA", at positions 29 to 507 of the family's 1533-position model. The record is from RNAcentral.